Molecule: unclassified non-coding RNA, 2394 nt
Filed under: Hevea brasiliensis (rubber tree)
Lineage: Eukaryota; Viridiplantae; Streptophyta; Magnoliopsida; Malpighiales; Euphorbiaceae
Source: RNAcentral
AUCUACAUAUAACGCCCUUGAGCAUUAAGAAAAAAUCUUGCACAUGCAAAAAAAAAUAAAGUUUAAUCAGAAAAGAGAUAAAUAAAUAAUAAAAAUGGGCAUAAAACUUUGAGCGACUCUAAUACAAAAUUUACUGAUACAAUGCUCUAAAAAAAUAAUUUAUUCCAAUUAAAUCAGUGCCACCAUUGCUACUGAAGAAUCACGGGAAUUAUUACCAAAAAAUUAAGAUACACGAAAAUGUAUUGCAGAUUUUGAUGUACAACUUAAAAACAAUAUGGAUAAGUAUGAUCACAACAAGCACACUACCCAACUGGCUAUAAUCCAUCGUUAGCAUUAACAAGUUUGAGACCCCAGCUCAUGUCCUCACAGUGCUGCACAUGAGGUACCAGUGCACCAGUGUCGACCCCUAUCCGAGCCUUGCAGUCAUAAAAUGGAGGUGCAUGGAAACAAGGCUCCAUGGACAUUACUGGACCACAGGGUGGAUCAGGGGCUGAUUGAUUCACAGGUUUGUAGAGUAUCCAUGGCUUCAACCCUCCAAGACCUUGAGCCACAUAGCCAAAGGUGGACCAAGAGCUUGUGACCAGCACAUCGGUUAAGCUCAGCAAAUACAUUUCUGCCCAUGCCUUUCUGUUGUUAAUCUGCUUUUCUGUUUGCUGAUACUCUUCAUGACUUGGCUGGUAAAUACCAACUAAUUCCCCUGUCGUAGAUGGAUGUUCCCAGUACAUGCUUCUCAUCUUCUGAGAGUACCAAGAAUUUAAAGAUGUCACCAGAACAGCUUUAGACUUGGUUCCAGAUUGACUGGUGACGAGAUCCUCCCUGUUGAUUUCAGGCAGCAGAUUCUCCUUCACAGCACAAGCUAGGAUCUGAUCCAACACAUAUUGGAACGGACCAGCGCCAGAAUCAAAUAUUCUGAUCUGGAUGCCUACUUUUUCGUUUGCUUUAGCUAAAUAAGCGUGAUAGUAUCUAGUAAUAAGUCCCCAUACUGAAUUUGUGGGGUGAAAUAGAUAUCGGCCCAAGAAGUGGAAAACUGUUUCCUUAUUUGGGAAUAGAUUUUUCAAUUCUUGCUCAAAAGAUGGCAUCAAGAAGAGAGAUGGAACGAAGUAGUUAUCUGUUUUCAUUAUCAACCAAGGUAUUUUCUGAAGAAAAUCUUGAUUUUCAUCGCAGAAGAAAAGCUUAUCUUGGUCAUCAUAAUCAUGAAUUAGAUGGAGAUACACAUGACUUGCUGGCUUCAAUCUAUUUACAUUUUUAGAAAUGCUAUCCUUCAGCAUUCUUCCAUAACAGCUAGGAGAACUCUGAUUAAAGCUGUAGAAUUGACCUUUCAGGGGGAAAUCCAAGGGAAGAAACCAGGAUACCUCUGGGAAUGGUUCGCAAAAGAGAUCGACCAUGUCAACUCCAGGAUCCACAAGUAGGACUCGGUUUGUGAGAAGAGCAUAGAGAAAUGCUGAAGCUAAUGUCAGAAUCCUAUUCCCUAGUCCACUAAAGGAGAUCCAUACCACGUAACUACAAUCAGAGAGUUCAGGCUGAUGUCCAGACUUCAGUUGUUCAAGCGUUUUGUUGUAGGAUUCUGUACGUGGUCCACAUUUUUUAUGGAGAAUUUCGUAACUUCGCAACCUAGAAAUGAGGUAAGAAGAGGGCUUAUGUGGUAGUUCUUUGCGAUAAGCGACUGAUUGAUACCUGCUGAGACAGGUUUCUUCACUGACCGUAGCAGCAAGGAGACCACCUAGUAGCUUGUGCUGAGGGAACCCGGCAGGCUUUGAGAAACCUUCUGAACCUAGGACUUUUUCUUCUUCAAUUUCAAUAACUUUUGGUUGUGAAGAUUCCAAAGCACUAUCAGAUGGUGGGUCUCUAAGAACUACAGAUGCUGAAAACACAACUGAAAGAGCCAUCAAAAGGACCACCAAACCACCCAUAACUCUCAUCGGGUUAAACCCACAUUUUCUUUCCGUCUCCCCCACAGUACUCUGCCCAUCAGGAUCCGAGCUGUUCCCCGGAUUCCUCUUGAAGCGCUUCAUAUUUGAUAAUUAUUCAUUCGUUAAUCGGGUAAAGUCACUUCAGGGUCAAAAGGGUCGCUUGAGAAUGGUGGAUUUUGUGUCAGAGCGAGGGACGGUUCGAGCAGAGAAGAGGAAGUAGAGUGGAGAAGAUAGAUUGUGUCGGUAACGUUAAGAGACGUUGCAACUGGAAACAUGUUGGUAUCACAGUUCACUCGCAAUUGUAAUCGCAUGAUGAUAAUGGCCUCUUUUUAGUUCAGCCCAUUUACAGCCCAACUUCAAAGUUGUUAUCAUUAUUUUGAAAAUAUCUUCUGAAGGGCUCAAAUUAAUUUUUUUUUAAGAAAAAAAUAGACACUUUUGUUAUUAUUAUAAUUUUUUAUACAGUUCUUGGGUUUUGAUGUUAUUU